CCCUUAGAUGUUCUGGGCCGCACGCGCGCUACACUGACGGAUUCAACGAGCUUACAACCUUGGCCGAAAGGUCUGGGUAAUCUCCAAAAUCCGUCGUGAUGGGGAUAGAUUAUUGCAAUUAUUAAUCUUCAACGAGGAAUGCCUAGUAAGCGCAAGUCAUCAGCUUGCGUUGAUUACGUCCCCGCCCUUUGUACACACCGCCCGUCGCUCCUACCGAUUGAAUGGUCCGGUGAAGCGUUUGGACUAUGGUUUUCUGAUGGUCCGCCGUUGGAUUACCGUGGGAAGUUCGUUAAACCUUAUCAUUUAGAGGAAGGAGAAGUCGUAACA
RNAcentral lists this ribosomal RNA (327 nucleotides) under uncultured eukaryote. Its description in RNAcentral is "partial 18S ribosomal RNA". It matches the Rfam family "Eukaryotic small subunit ribosomal RNA", at positions 1470 to 1796 of the family's 1831-position model. The record is from RNAcentral.